This 492-nucleotide ribosomal RNA is filed under the name uncultured bacterium. Its description in RNAcentral is "partial 16S ribosomal RNA". It matches the Rfam family "Bacterial small subunit ribosomal RNA", at positions 29 to 507 of the family's 1533-position model. The record is from RNAcentral.
AGUGAACGCUGGCGGUAGGCCUAACACAUGCAAGUCGAACGGCAGCACAGUAAGGGCUUGCUCUUACGGGUGGCGAGUGGCGGACGGGUGAGGAAUACAUCGGAAUCUACUUUUUCGUGGGGGAUAACGUAGGGAAACUUACGCUAAUACCGCAUACGACCUACGGGUGAAAGCAGGGGAUCUUCGGACCUUGCGCGAUUGAAUGAGCCGAUGUCGGAUUAGCUAGUUGGCGGGGUAAAGGCCCACCAAGGCGACGAUCCGUAGCUGGUCUGAGAGGAUGAUCAGCCACACUGGAACUGAGACACGGUCCAGACUCCUACGGGAGGCAGCGGUGGGGAAGAUUGGACAAUGGGCGCAAGCCUGAUCCAGCCAUACCGCGUGGGUGAAGAAGGCCUUCGGGUUGUAAAGCCCUUUUGUUGGGAAAGAAAAGCAGCAGGUUAAUACCCCGCUGUUCUGACGGUACCCAAAGAAUAAGCACCGGCUAACUUCGUG